Molecule: long non-coding RNA, 1411 nt
Filed under: Nicotiana tabacum (common tobacco)
Lineage: Eukaryota; Viridiplantae; Streptophyta; Magnoliopsida; Solanales; Solanaceae
Description: long non-coding RNA (NTAB_LNC006323)
Source: RNAcentral
GUGACAUACAGGCCUAAUAGACCAGCAUGAUCAUUUAUAAACUCAAAACAUAGGCCGACAAGGCCGUACAAUAUUUCACAUACACGACAUUUGUCUACAAGCUUCUAAGAGUACAUGAUUAUCAUAAAGGUCGGGACAGAGUCCCGCCAUACCAAAACAUAUACAUCUAAAUCAUACUGACCAAAUAAGCAACUCCAGAGCAAAUGGAGUGCACUAAUAUCUUCUGUUGAGCUAAUCGCCUACUUGGAGGACUUUCGACCUCCCUAUCGAGACCUGCGGGCAUGAAACGCAGUGUCCCCAGGCAAAAGGGAUGUCAGUACAAAUAAUGUAUCGAGUAUGUAUGGAAUAAAAAUCAGUAAAUAAUAGACAUGAGAGAAACAUGGAGUAAAAGACUCAACAUGUAUGUCUGAAUAGCUCUGUAAAUCAUUUUAUAUUUAUAAUGUCAUGCAUAUGCGUAUAAUGUCAUACCAUGCUUAGGUAUAUGCGUUCAUAACAUCAUCAAGCCUCUAAGGGCAUCCCAUCAUAUCAUUUCGGCCACUGUGGACAAAUCAUUAACGUAUACCAGCUGAUUAGGUGGUGGUGCGUAUAUAACGCCAUAACCUUUUCUCAUAUCCCAUAUACAUAUAAUAUACACGAAUAUAACGCCAUUUGGUCAUGGGUUAAUGUACAUGUAUAAAUGCAUGAAAUGCAUAGAAAUACGUUAAUAAGAUUUUCUCGGAAUGUCAUAAAAAUAAUAUGCAUGUCGGAUAAAUUUUAUGAAAUACGUAUUUUUCUGGGACCUAUGAACAGAAGAUAUAAUAAUGAUUUACAUGGGGAAUCAAGAAUAUAGACACCCCUAAUAUUUCUAUGAAUAGAGUCAUUUAUGAAAAUUGUGCAUUUGCGCGUUUCGUUUGUAUCGUAUUGAUCAUGCCAAAAAGAAAGAAGGGAUAGCCUUAACAUACCUGGGACGAUUCUCUUGACAAUCCCUCUAACACACGUCAAUUGCGACAACAUGUAAUGGCAGAUUGAAGUAGGAGAAAAUCCAUAGAAUAUUCUUGAGAAAGAUUGCACCAUACUCCCUUAGAAUUGCAAAUCCCCGUUGAAGCAGAGUCACGUCAAUCUAUCUCACUUUGCUGCUUAACUCCAAGAGGAGAAGCUAUGAUGUAAGAAACUAUCCAGUCAUAAUAUAUAUAAGGGUCUCCCGCUAAACAAACUGUUAUCAAGUUGAGAGGCAAACUCAAGAAAAAGAGACAUAAAUAAUUUGGUAAUCCAGAGAAUAUUUGAUUGCGACUCCAGCCGUAGCUUUCUUGUUAUCUGGUAAUUGUUGUAAUGCAAUAUGAAGAAAUAGUAAGAAAUGGGGGAAACCGUAGCUUUGGGAUCUUGAAUUGUCACUUUAGAAUUUGCUUCUUCUGGUUUCCUAUGAAUUGUUGAG